UCACUUGUUGUUGAUCUGUGUCUAUCUC
This 28-nucleotide non-coding RNA is filed under the name Mus musculus (house mouse). Lineage: Eukaryota; Metazoa; Chordata; Mammalia; Rodentia; Muridae. The record is from RNAcentral.